GUUAAAGCUGCAAAGAAGGCCAUUAUUGAAGGUAUAUCGUACAUGAAAUUCAAUUUACUUCCUUUUGUUGAUCUAGACACUACACUUGGAUCAGGCUAUUAAGCUAGAAGAUUCACCUUCUGACGUUUUCGUCAUCUUACUUUACAAGUUUAUAUAUAUUAAGUCACACAUUUUCAGUUUUAUCUUCUGUAAAGAAAUGGGUUGAGUCUAUAUCAUUUUUUCUUUGAAUUGUUUCUCUGGCUGCAGUGAUGAGAUUAUGGUACAAACUUUAAAUUGUUUCUCUGGCUGACAUUCUGAAAUGCACGUGACGUUUCUGAAAAAUGGUGAUGGUUUUUCUUUAUCUUGUAUGCUGUAUUCCAAUUUCAAGGGGGACAUGAUCUAAUAGAAAAUAUUCUCCUUUUAUACUUGUUUUCUCAUAAAUUAGCAUGUUGACUGUCUGCAAAUUAUAUGUUUCUCGUGUGCUUCUUUGAUGCUCUUUGCUCUUCAAUUAUUCUUAUUAUUAUGCCCAUCUAAUGUUACUACAUUGAUAAUUGGUAAGCUUUUGCUUAUGCUUAUUUUGUUUGAUUUGCUGUAGUCGCAACUUUGUUUAUAUGUUCUUCUUCAACUGCUUGUCACACAGUUGAGCAUUUAGUAUAUAGCCCUGCUUUACCAUUAGAACUUGGACCUAGUAUAGUGAUUAUGGCCAUGAUAGCAAUAAUAUCUUCCAAGGCUGGUAUAAUGGCUGACAUAUUUGGUUUGGUUGAGGAAAACUUUUUGUUGUAGCAUAGACCACUAAGAUUUAAUUGCUUGCUUAGGGAAAAGAUGCCUGCAGUUAUGCGCCUUAUCUUAAUAAUCUAGAUCAUGCAGUGAUGAAGUGUCAGUUCUGCAUGCAAAUGUACCCUUCCCUUUGAUCUGUGUACUAGAAAUGUACUUUGAUGUACUGUUGAUGCUAUCAAUUACUGGGAACGAUGCUGCUUAAAACUUUUAUAGGCUGCGAUUAUGAACUAUCAGUAUGUAACGUUUGGGAUAAAUUGAGUUACUGUUUCCUAAGUGGUGAUUUCCCUUUUUUUCAUUUGCUGCACCUUUGCAAGAAUAAUGCACAUAAAUGGGUUACUUGUUAAGCAUGGUAGAGUUGAUGUUAAUGCAAGGAUCCUUUAUAUAGAUUAACAUCCAUUGGACUUUCACAAUUUUCACUUACUGUUCUGGGUAUUGUUUCACGUGCAACUCUCAAGACUUCGCAUUAGAAUAAAAUGCCCACAUGUUGAACUAUGAAUGUAGUGUUGGGCUGUGUCCAUGCCUGGACAGUGAAGUUAAUUUUUAAGAUAAAUCACACUUUUAGUCUGUGCUGAAUGUGUGUUCUUUACCCAUGCUCUUAAAAAGCCCAUACUGAAAUGAAAAACUGCUGCUAUUCAUCUUUGCCUUAAAUGAGCAUUUAUCAUCUUACUGUAAUGCAGGUUGCGUUAAUUCCAACACCAGACGUCCACUCUUUUAAACAUACAAAGAAAGGUAUUUGGAGCAGGUGAUGCUGUUGAAUUUGUUCAGAAUCAGUUGAAGGAGACCUCUUCAGCCUCGCUUGCUGUGCGCCGCCUCGUGAAGGAAGCUGUUCGUGAACGGCGAUGCAAGGAUAACUGCGCUGCUGUUUUGAUUGUCUUUAAACACUAGAGACCUAGCUUCUCAUUUUCACCGAACUGAACUGAGGAAAAGAAUUAGCUGACAAAGUCUAAUUGAAGCUAAAUGAACCAGGAAUUCUGUUUGUAUUUGUUGUUACUUACUUCUGAUGGGCCUAUUAAUACACAAUUGGAAAUCCGGCUU
This is an RNA transcript of Phragmites australis (common reed), 1791 nucleotides long. It is a transcript of the gene named probable protein phosphatase 2C 67, with no coding region annotated. NCBI's taxonomy places the organism in Eukaryota, Viridiplantae, Streptophyta, Magnoliopsida, Poales, Poaceae. The record is from RefSeq and is a predicted model, not a curated record. The transcript is spliced from 3 exons.